UACGUAGGGCGCAAGCGUUGUCCGGAAUUAUUGGGCGUAAAGAGCUUGUAGGUGGCUUGUCGCGUCUGCCGUGAAAACCCGAGGCUCAACUUCGGGCGUGCGGUGGGUACGGGCAGGCUAGAGUGUGGUAGGGGAGACUGGAACUCCUGGUGUAGCGGUGAAAUGCGCAGAUAUCAGGAAGAACACCGAUGGCGAAGGCAGGUCUCUGGGCCAUUACUGACACUGAGAAGCGAAAGCAUGGGUAGCGAACAGGAUUAGAUACC
This 263-nucleotide ribosomal RNA is filed under the name uncultured bacterium. RNAcentral's name for it is "partial 16S ribosomal RNA". It matches the Rfam family "Bacterial small subunit ribosomal RNA", at positions 524 to 786 of the family's 1533-position model. The record is from RNAcentral.